UCGUACGAGAAAGUCUCUUCGGAGAUGAGUAAAGUGGCGCACGGGUGAGUAACGCGUGGGUAAUCUGCCCUUAGGUUUGGGAUAACCCCGGGAAACCGGAGCUAAUACCGAAUGAGACCACGAUGACUUCGGUCGAUGUGGGAAAAGGUGGCCUCUUCUUGAAAGCUAUCGCCAAAGGAUGAGCCCGCGUUUGAUUAGCUAGUUGGUGAGGUAAUGGCUCACCAAGGCUACGAUCAAUAGCUGGUCUGAGAGGACGAUCAGCCACACUGGAACUGAGACACGGUCCAGACUCCUACGGGAGGCAGCAGUCAGGAAUAUUGGGCAAUGGGCGAAAGCCUGACCCAGCAACGCCGCGUGAAGGAUGAAGGCCUUCGGGUCGUAAACUUCUGUCGAGAGGGAAGAAUGCGUGCGGGUGAAUAAUCCGUGCGUUUGACGGUACCUCAAAAGGAAGCACCGGCUAACUCCGUGCCAGCAGCCGCGGUAAUACGGAGGGUGCAAGCGUUGUCCGGAUUCAUUGGGCGUAAAGCGAGUGUAGGCGGUUUGACAAGUCGAAUGUGAAAUCCCGGGGCCCAACCCCGGAACUGCAUCCGAUACUGUCUGGCUAGAGUCCCGGAGAGGGUGGCGGAAUUCCCGGUGUAGGGGUGAAAUCCGUAGAUAUCGGGAGGAACACCAGUGGCGAAGGCGGCCACCUGGACGGUGACUGACGCUGAGACUCGAAAGCGUGGGUAGCAAACAGGAUUAGAUACCCUGGUAGUCCACGCUGUAAACGGUGAGUGCUCGUCGUCGUGGGUAUUGACCCCUGCGGUGACCAAGUUAACACAUGAAGCACUCCGCCUGGGAAGUACGGUCGCAAGACUAAAACUCAAAGAAAUUGACGGGGCCCGCACAAGCGGUGGAGCAUGUUGUUUAAUUCGAAGCAACGCGCAGACCCUUACCUG
RNAcentral lists this ribosomal RNA (938 nucleotides) under uncultured bacterium. RNAcentral describes it as "bacterial SSU rRNA". It matches the Rfam family "Bacterial small subunit ribosomal RNA", at positions 62 to 977 of the family's 1533-position model. The record is from RNAcentral.